GACGAACGCUGGCGGCGUGCUUAACACAUGCAAGUCGAACGGAAAGGCCCUGCUUUUGUGGGGUGCUCGAGUGGCGAACGGGUGAGUAACACGUGAGUAACCUGCCCUUGACUUUGGGAUAACUUCAGGAAACUGGGGCUAAUACCGGAUAGGAGCUCCUGCUGCAUGGUGGGGGUUGGAAAGUUUCGGCGGUUGGGGAUGGACUCGCGGCUUAUCAGCUUGUUGGUGGGGUAGUGGCUUACCAAGGCUUUGACGGGUAGCCGGCCUGAGAGGGUGACCGGCCACAUUGGGCCUGAGAUACGGCCCAGACUCCUACGGGAGGCAGCAGUGGGGAAUAUUGCACAAUGGGCGGAAGCCUGAUGCAGCAACGCCGCGUGCGGAUGACGGCCUUCGGGUUGUAAACCGCUUUCGCCUGUGACGAAGCGUGAGUGACGGUAAUGGGUAAAGAAGCACCGGCUAACUACGUA
RNAcentral lists this ribosomal RNA (467 nucleotides) under uncultured bacterium. Its description in RNAcentral is "partial 16S ribosomal RNA". It matches the Rfam family "Bacterial small subunit ribosomal RNA", at positions 28 to 507 of the family's 1533-position model. The record is from RNAcentral.